RNAcentral lists this ribosomal RNA (429 nucleotides) under Chloroflexota bacterium. Its description in RNAcentral is "Chloroflexi bacterium partial 16S ribosomal RNA". It matches the Rfam family "Bacterial small subunit ribosomal RNA", at positions 355 to 776 of the family's 1533-position model. The record is from RNAcentral. Lineage: Bacteria; Bacillati; Chloroflexota.
UGGGGAAUAUUGCACAAUGGGCGCAAGCCUGAUGCAGCCAUGCCGCGUGUAUGAAGAAGGCCUUCGGGUUGUAAAGUACUUUCAGGCGGGAGGAAGGUGGUAAGGUUAAUAACCUUAUCAAUUGACGUUACCGACAGAAGAAGCACCGGCUAACUCCGUGCCAGCAGCCGCGGUAAUACGGAGGGUGCAAGCGUUAAUCGGAAUUACUGGGCGUAAAGCGCACGCAGGCGGUUGAUUGAGUCAGAUGUGAAAUCCCCGGGCUUAACCCGGGAAUUGCAUCUGAUACUGGUCAGCUAGAGUCUUGUAGAGGGGGGUAGAAUUCCAUGUGUAGCGGUGAAAUGCGUAGAGAUGUGGAGGAAUACCGGUGGCGAAGGCGGCCCCCUGGACAAAGACUGACGCUCAGGUGCGAAAGCGUGGGGAGCAAACAGG